Molecule: transfer RNA, 68 nt
Filed under: Physcomitrium immersum
Lineage: Eukaryota; Viridiplantae; Streptophyta; Bryopsida; Funariales; Funariaceae
Description: tRNA-Cys
Source: RNAcentral
GGAUUUGCAAUCCUCUGCCUUACCACUUGGCCAUGUCGCCGUUUUUUUUUUUUUUUAAAUUAAAAAAA